Molecule: ribosomal RNA, 444 nt
Filed under: uncultured Pseudomonas sp.
Lineage: Bacteria; Pseudomonadati; Pseudomonadota; Gammaproteobacteria; Pseudomonadales; Pseudomonadaceae
Description: bacterial SSU rRNA
Rfam family: Bacterial small subunit ribosomal RNA
Source: RNAcentral
AUGUGGUUUAAUUCGAAGCAACGCGAAGAACCUUACCAGGCCUUGACAUGCAGAGAACUUUCCAGAGAUGGAUUGGUGCCUUCGGGAACUCUGACACAGGUGCUGCAUGGCUGUCGUCAGCUUGUGUCGUGAGAUGUUGGGUUAAGUCCCGUAACGAGCGCAACCCUUGUCCUUAGUUACCAGCACGUUAUGGUGGGCACUCUAAGGAGACUGCCGGUGACAAACCGGAGGAAGGUGGGGAUGACGUCAAGUCAUCAUGGCCCUUACGGCCUGGGCUACACACGUGCUGCAAUGGUCGGUACAAAGGGUUGCCAAGCCGCGAGGUGGAGCUAAUCCCAUAAAACCGAUCGUAGUCCGGAUCGCAGUCUGCAACUCGACUGCGUGAAGUCGGAAUCGCUAGUAAUCGUGAAUCAGAAUGUCACGGUGAAUACGUUCCCGGGCCUU